UACCUACGGGAGGCAGCAGUGGGGAAUAUUGCACAAUGGGGGGAACCCUGAUGCAGCGACGCCGCGUGAGUGAAGAAGUAUUUCGGUACGUAAAGCUCUAUCAGCAGGGAAGAAAAAAGGACGGUACCUGAGUAAGAAGCCCCGGCUAACUACGUGCCAGCAGCCGCGGUAAUACGUAGGGGGCAAGCGUUAUCCGGAAUUACUGGGUGUAAAGGGAGUGUAGGCGGGAAAGCAAGUCAGAAGUGAAAACUAUGGGCUUAACCCAUAGCCUGCUUUUGAAACUGUUUUUCUUG
RNAcentral lists this ribosomal RNA (293 nucleotides) under uncultured bacterium. RNAcentral describes it as "partial 16S ribosomal RNA". It matches the Rfam family "Bacterial small subunit ribosomal RNA", at positions 335 to 644 of the family's 1533-position model. The record is from RNAcentral.